This 331-nucleotide long non-coding RNA is filed under the name Pongo abelii (Sumatran orangutan). RNAcentral describes it as "lncRNA (ENSPPYG00000037685.1)". Lineage: Eukaryota; Metazoa; Chordata; Mammalia; Primates; Hominidae. The record is from RNAcentral.
GACUUCUUGAUGUCAAAUUAUGAACUGAGUGGAACACUGAGUCCCAAAGGAGCCGAAUGCUGGAUCUGUGACACAGAAUACCUCUUUUAGCAUGUCGAAGAUGGAGGUCUGUGCUGUUGGCAAUUACUUCCUUCAUCAUCAGCAACUUUGACCCUCUCAGGACAGUGGGGAGGAAGGACCCUAAAGGUCCUGCAGCAGUUAGUCCUCCAAGGAUAGAAAGCUUUAAUCCUUAGAGAAGUUUGAGGAGAAGGAAGGGAAUAUGUGCAGACACAUUGGGAGGUCUACCAGCAUUCUCACGGACAGACAUGCAACAUGAUGAGGGAGAAGGGCA